Dromaius novaehollandiae (emu) is the source of this 679-nucleotide long non-coding RNA. RefSeq lists it as uncharacterized. The record is from RefSeq and is a predicted model, not a curated record. Lineage: Eukaryota; Metazoa; Chordata; Aves; Casuariiformes; Dromaiidae. The transcript has 2 exons.
UGGGCUUGCUAGAAACAGUCUGCAGGAGGGGGACUGCCGUGAAUGCCUCUUCUCCCAGUUCAGACAAAUCCUAUUGCUUCUGAGACGCUGAACUGACAGUUCCCCACGAUGUUCGUACUGGGUGAGUGGGCAGAGUGGAAGGGGACUUCUGCGCCGUGACCAAAGGCAAAGCUGCUUUCCUUGGAUCCAGGUGUGGAAGUCAGUGUCCAGGAAAGGGAGGGAAGUGCAUUGCAUCGAAAUGAUGGGAUAAUUACGUGGCAAGGUGGGGGGUUUUCUUGGGCCGCAAGCUGCCCCUGCCAGGGGUGGCUUGGGAGUGGUCGGAGUAAGCAAAAAUCUGCAAUCAAAACAAACAAAAAUAGCGCAUCCUGUUAUGAUAACUGCCCUGGUGGGAUCAGUUUGUAUCUCGCAGGUAGCUGUAAUUAAGCUGCAUCUGAAUGGCUAAUUGCACACCUGUACUGAAGAGGCCAUACAUUAGCCAAGCUCUAGCCUUGCCAAGCCCUAGGUCCUGGAAAAAGGAGAAUAUUUUUUUCAACUACUAUCAUUUUUGCCACAAUGUUUUAUGGAUUAUCUGAUCCCAUAAUGCAUUUUUGGUUUGUGUAAUAUAUUCCGUAAUGUACAUAAAACAGCACUCAGGAUGUGUUCUGUACUGAAUAAACCUACUCCUGGGUGCAGAAAACAA